RNAcentral lists this ribosomal RNA (417 nucleotides) under uncultured Deinococcus sp. RNAcentral describes it as "bacterial SSU rRNA". It matches the Rfam family "Bacterial small subunit ribosomal RNA", at positions 355 to 774 of the family's 1533-position model. Lineage: Bacteria; Thermotogati; Deinococcota; Deinococci; Deinococcales; Deinococcaceae. The record is from RNAcentral.
UUAGGAAUCUUCCACAAUGGGCGCAAGCCUGAUGGAGCGACGCCGCGUGAGGGAUGAAGGUUUUCGGAUCGUAAACCUCUGAAUCAGGGACGAAAGACCAGCUUGACUGGGGAUGACGGUACCUGAGUAAUAGCACCGGCUAACUCCGUGCCAGCAGCCGCGGUAAUACGGAGGGUGCAAGCGUUACCCGGAAUCACUGGGCGUAAAGGGCGUGUAGGCGGUUUGCCAAGUCUGACUUUAAAGACCGAAGCUCAACUUCGGGAAUGGGCCGGAGACUGGCAGACUAGACGGAUGGAGAGGUCACUGGAAUUCCUGGUGUAGCGGUGGAAUGCGUAGAUACCAGGAGGAACACCAACGGCGAAGGCAGGUGACUGGACAUUUAGUGACGCUGAGGCGCGAAAGUGUGGGGAGCAAACC